Long non-coding RNA from Triticum aestivum (bread wheat), 2915 nucleotides. RefSeq lists it as uncharacterized. The record is from RefSeq and is a predicted model, not a curated record. The transcript has 5 exons. Lineage: Eukaryota; Viridiplantae; Streptophyta; Magnoliopsida; Poales; Poaceae.
AGUCGCAUUGGGUGCGUCUCGCACGAAUUCCUUUCCCGUCUUGGUGGGCGAAGAGUAAGCCGAGCCGCGAGAAUAGCACCGAUGCCCGGGCUGCUUCCUCUUCCGUCUGGCUCUGCUCAUGCCGAUUCCCGGAGCGACGACGAGGGCGGCGUUGGACUCUGGAUCGAUCUCAGCGGCAAGGGAUCCAGAGGCGUGUGAGGCGCUGUCCGUUUUGGGCGAGGGCGGUAACGCUUUGCCUGAUUAGGCCGUAGGCUCGCCGGAUUCGACCGUCGGAGCGGCCUCGCCGGACAUUCGUCGGUUGGAUCAAGGGGGGGCCUUGACUGAUGUCUAGUCCUCCGAGGCUUCCUGCAAGACCUUCAGUUCUGGGGGUGGAGAUGUGUCAUCCGCAAACCCCGGGUGCGCGACUCCUGCCAUAGUCUCGCACAACUCCGUCAAGUCCAGCCGCCGCAGUGCCGCGUCGGAUUCCUGCAUGACAUUCAGUUCUGGGGGCGUGGUCCUGCCGUCGGCGCGAGUCUGCGAUGAGACGUCAGCCAUAGUCUCGAGCUGCGCCGUGUAGUCCUUAUGCCAAAACGGGUCGGCUUUGGGAAACACCAUCAUCCGCGUUGGCUGGAAGCGCAAGUAGCUACUGAUUUUCUGUCGCUUAGGCCAAUGGUGGGUGGUAUGUACCUGAAAAUCGUGCCUCCAACAACCAUGAAAUGCUCCGGACCUAUGCUGAGAAGCUGCACUAGCCAUCACACCGGCACAUUGACACGUACACAAGGGAUCUCGUGAAAUAGUUGCGCCAGAACAACGUUAACCUGGGGAAGGUCUACAACAUCAUUGGAAGCCUAUUUGGUCGGAUGGAGAACGUCUCGUUCACAAAGAGGUGCCUUAGAACUUUCUGUGGAAAGCUUAUUAAGGAGCAGGCGGAUGAUGAUGUGCGGAAGACUAUGAAUGCCUUCUCUGAGCUGGGAUCAAAUGAUCCCGAGUUUCCGUAUGUUAAAGAAACCAAGAUAAAGACCCUGUUGUGGACUAAUGGUAGAAGUAAGAUGCAAUACCACUAUUUCGGGAAUGUGAUAACGUUCGACACUACUUACAAGACAAAUCUGUACGACAUGCCUUUCGGGCUAUUCAUGGGGGUGAACAAUCACUUCCAGAGUAUAAUCAUGGGCGGAGUCAUGAUGAGAGAAGAAACGAUUGAGAGUUUCAAAUGGGUAUUUACCGAGUUCAUUAGGAUGAUGCGGGGCUAGCCUCCGAAAACAAUACUUACAGAUCAUGCGCGCGCAAUGGAGGUGGCUAUACAACAAAUGAUGCCGGAUACCACACACCGGUGGUGCAAGUGGCAUGUGCUAUGAAGGUGAAGGAGCACCUCCGCCGCAUUACACAAAACGGAAUGAUUUUAGGGCUGCAUUGCACAAGGUGGUCAAGGAAAUGCUCACUAUGGACGAGUUUGAAGCAGCUUGGCUGAAAUGCUGGACAAAUACAAACUUCACAACAACACGUUCCUCAUCCAAAUUUUUGAGGUUCGGCACAAGUGAGCGAAGCCUUAUUUUAGUGGCAAGUUCUGUGCGAAGCUAACCAGUACGCAAAAAAGCGAGAGUGCAAACCAUUUGUUGAAGGGCUACAUCCCGCCUGCAUGCCCCAUGAACCUUUUUGUGAAGCAAUAUAGCUAAUUGCAGUUCGACUGGGAAGCUGAAGAAGGAUUCCAAGAGAAGAGAACAAGGCUGGGCGGGAUAGUUCUCCGAUACAAUUACCCUUUGGAGGAGCAUGCAAGUAAAGUGUAUACCUGGACAAUGUAUGAGACGUUUGGGCUGGCUUUGUAUCGCUCUGGUAAGUAUGAGGUUGAGGGUGUUGAGUGGGGCAUCAGCUACCACGUGCGGCACGUUGAAGCUGAGAAGCGAGAGAAGUGGUACGGCAAAAUGCAUGUGGUCAGUGUCCAUGAUGGCGGUGCUAGGUACACAUGCGAAUGUGGGCUCUUCGAGCACAUGGGGAUGCUUUGUUGCCAUGCUAUCAAGGUUUUAAUUCAUUUGGGAGUGAGAAAGAUACCCAGAUUCCAUGUCCUGAAGAGGUGGACAGUAGAUGCCCGCGACUGUUUGCUACUUCACCUUCUCCAUUACCAAAAAGAUCAAGGGCCUCCGCGGUUAUCCUCCUAAAGGCAUACAUCACUACACCUGACCACGCUCGAGUUUGUGCAGCUUGGUGAUAGCAAUGUCGAUGCCCUCGAUAGAGCAAUGGACAUCUUGAUUGCAGGCAAGGCAGAGCUGACUGUUUUGGCAGCGGUAAGGAUGGCAAAAGUUUGGUGGACUAAACUCAAAUUGGGGAGCCAGCCAAUCCCACUCAGGAUAUGGGCGCAGGUUCCUCGCAACUAUAUGACAUGUGUUCUCAGAUGUUCAUCUCCACCGAGUGUGGACUUAGUUCUAUUUCAGGGGAAGCUGGCUCCAGUCUCUCACUGUCGACGUUCCUGCCGCCUGAUAGGAAGAAGCAGAAAGGUAGGCCAACCAAAGCGAGGGAUAAACCUGGAUAUGAGGUCAAGGACACGCGAUCAAGGUUUUGUACGGUUUGUAGGGAGAAAGGGCACAAGAGCACGACAUGCCCCCGCAGGCUGACCUUCCGAAGAAACCUCAGAAAAUCCCUACAUGCGGCAAUUGCGGUGUAGCUGGGCACAAAAAAACAAGUUGUUUCAACCUAGUCUUGCCGUUUGUGAAUCGGCCUUGCGACGGGCCAGUCGAGUGAUGUUCGGUUCAGCGCUUGAAGCAGGUUGUUGAAUCCAAAAACCAAUCCAGAGUUUGAGUAGUUCGAUUUCCUGCAGUUAGGCUUAAUUUGGGACUGUGAUUUAUUUUUCCAAUAAGCUUUGUGCCUGGCUGGAUGGUACUGUAAUUUGAUUUCAUGCUGUUAGGCUUCGUUUUGGCAUGUGAUUUUGAUUUUCCAAUAAGGGA